RNAcentral lists this ribosomal RNA (594 nucleotides) under Xeromyces bisporus. RNAcentral describes it as "eukaryotic LSU rRNA". It matches the Rfam family "Eukaryotic large subunit ribosomal RNA", at positions 40 to 648 of the family's 3401-position model. The record is from RNAcentral. Lineage: Eukaryota; Fungi; Ascomycota; Eurotiomycetes; Eurotiales; Aspergillaceae.
AUAUCAAUAAGCGGAGGAAAAGAAACCAACCGGGAUUGCCUCAGUAACGGCGAGUGAAGCGGCAAGAGCUCAAAUUUGAAAGCUGGCUCCUCCGGGGUCCGCAUUGUAAUUUGGAGAGGAUGCUUCGGGUGCGGCCCCCGUCUAAGUGCUCUGGAACGGGCCGUCGGAGAGGGUGAGAAUCCCGUCUGGGGCGGGGAGCCCCGUGCCCGUGUGAAGCUCCUUCAACGAGUCGAGUUGUUUGGGAAUGCAGCUCUAAAUGGGUGGUAAAUUUCAUCUAAAGCUAAAUACAGGCCGGAGACCGAUAGCGCACAAGUAGAGUGAUCGAAAGAUGAAAAGCACUUUGAAAAGAGAGUUAAACAGCACGUGAAAUUGUUGAAAGGGAAGCGCUUGCAAUCAGACUCGCCCGCGGGGUUCAGCCGGCAUUCGUGCCGGUGUACUUCCCCGUGGGCGGGCCAGCGUCGGUUCGGACGGCCGGUCAAAGGCCCCCGGAAUGUAGCGCCCCCCGGGGCGUCUUAUAGCCGGGGGUGCCAUGCGGCCAGUCUGGACCGAGGAACGCGCUUCGGCACGGACGCUGGCGUAAUGGUUGCAAGCGAC